UACAGAGGUCUCAAGCGUUGUUCGGAUUCAUUGGGCGUAAAGGGUGCGUAGGCGGCGCGGUAAGUCGGGUGUGAAAUCUCGGGGCUUAACUCCGAAACUGCAUUCGAUACUACCGUGCUUGAGGACUGGAGAGGAGACUGGAAUUUACGGUGUAGCGGUGAAAUGCGUAGAUAUCAGGAGGAACACCUAUUGCGAAGGCAGCUCGCUGGGACGUAACUGACGCUGAGACGACGAAGCGUGGGAGCAAACAGG
Molecule: ribosomal RNA, 252 nt
Filed under: uncultured bacterium
Lineage: Bacteria
Description: partial 16S ribosomal RNA
Rfam family: Bacterial small subunit ribosomal RNA
Source: RNAcentral